This 436-nucleotide ribosomal RNA is filed under the name uncultured Oscillospiraceae bacterium. RNAcentral describes it as "partial 16S ribosomal RNA". It matches the Rfam family "Bacterial small subunit ribosomal RNA", at positions 341 to 792 of the family's 1533-position model. Lineage: Bacteria; Bacillati; Bacillota; Clostridia; Eubacteriales; Oscillospiraceae. The record is from RNAcentral.
ACGGGAGGCAGCAGUGGGGAAUAUUGGGCAAUGGGGGAAACCCUGACCCAGCGACGCCGCGUGAGGGAAGAAGGUCUUCGGAUUGUAAACCUUAAUUCAACAGGGAAGAGAGAGAGACGGUACCUGGAGGGAAGCCACGGCUAACUACGUGCCAGCAGCCGCGGUAAUACGUAGGUGGCGAGCGUUAUCCGGAUUUAUUGGGUAUAAAGGGUGUGUAGGCGGGUUCGCAAGUCAGAUGUGAAAAUUAUGGGCUUAACCCAUAAACUGCAUUUGAAACUGUGGAUCUUGAGAGUCGGAGAGGUAAACGGAAUUCCCAGUGUAGCGGUGAAAUGCGUAGAUAUUGGGAGGAACACCAGUGGCGAAGGCGGUUUACUGGACGACAACUGACGCUGAGACACGAAAGCGUGGGGAGCAAACAGGAUUAGAUACCCUGGUA